This 464-nucleotide ribosomal RNA is filed under the name uncultured bacterium. RNAcentral's name for it is "partial 16S ribosomal RNA". It matches the Rfam family "Bacterial small subunit ribosomal RNA", at positions 339 to 795 of the family's 1533-position model. The record is from RNAcentral.
CUACGGGACGCACCAGUGGGGAAUAUUGCACAAUGGGCGCAAGCCUGAUGCAGCCAUGCCGCGUGUAUGAAGAAGGCCUUCGGGUUGUAAAGUACUUUCAGCGGGGAGGAAGGGAGUAAAGUUAAUACCUUUGCUCAUUGACGUUACCCGCAGAAGAAGCACCGGCUAACUCCGUGCCAGCAGCCGCGGUAAUACAGAGGGUGCAAGCGUUAAUCGGAAUUACUGGGCGUAAAGCGCACGCAGGCGGUUUGUUAAGUCAGAUGUGAAAUCCCCGGGCUCAACCUGGGAACUGCAUCUGAUACUGGCAAGCUUGAGGCUCGUAGAGGGGGGUAGAAUUCCAGGUGUAGCGGUGAAAUGCGUAGAGAUCUGGAGGAAUACCGGUGGCGAAGGCGGCCCCCUGGACGAAGACUGACGCUCAGGUGCGAAAGCGUGGGGAGCAAACAGGAUUAGAUACCCUAGUAGUC